GGACUAGUUAAUUACUAAACUGGCAGUUUCUAACAGUUUGUACACGUAGAGCAGUUUCCUAAGACAAGAGGUACUUAUUUUAUUUUUCUGAAAGUUUGUUGACUGAAACGUAAAUUCGGAAACAUUCAGGCCUCUCCACAGACAUUAUCCAAUCACCUUCUCCCACAAAUUCUGGAGAUGAACCUAGAAUCCGGCGGAGGUGCACCCAACUCCGGCAAAGUCAUAAUAAACUCGACCAAAAAUCGAAACUAAAUAACCGAAACACUUUCUAACCUUCGUCCGACGCUAACUGUAGGCUUUAGAGAGUGUGGGUCGUUCCAGAAGUAGCAAUCCGAAAUUCCAAGAGAUCACCUCCAACGAGCUCCGACUUCUGAUAAGUCAAGACCGAAAUUGACUCAACGAACCUGGACACAAGAACUACGGAAAGACACCGAUUGUAAGGGGAAACGAAUCUCUUACCUGAGUUAAGGAGGGAGGAUCGACCGGCGAUUGGAAAGAAGAGAUCACCCGCCGUCGAAGCUCGCCGGUCACAGAGGAAGAAGGCUGCUAUUGUUCGCUCGUUGACGCCGAGGAGCAAGUCUCUGACUGCGGAAGUCACCAAAGAUGGGAUGUAGGGUUUAGGUGUCGGGAAAACGAAGUUUAAAUAGAAGAUGUGGGCUUGAUAGAAGGGCAGAGCUCGUCGCCGGAAAAUUCGCCCGAUCUCCGAGCUGGAACGAAGAAGACGGAGGAGAAGCGCUCACGUCACUGCCACGUCGCCAUCUUCUGCCAUGAGUCCUCAGCUGAGUCAGCAACACUAAUCUAAACGGCGUCGUUUAGCUUUGAGGAGGAGGAAAAAAAAGACAAGAAAGCUGUACCUGCGGAUCGAACCAAUAACCUCAAAUAUAUUAGUAUAGUUACUUAUCCACCAAACUACAAAUCAUUUAUUGAUUAGCUCUCG
RNAcentral lists this long non-coding RNA (937 nucleotides) under Linum usitatissimum (flax). Its description in RNAcentral is "long non-coding RNA (LUSI_LNC006157)". The record is from RNAcentral. Lineage: Eukaryota; Viridiplantae; Streptophyta; Magnoliopsida; Malpighiales; Linaceae.